Molecule: ribosomal RNA, 490 nt
Filed under: uncultured bacterium
Lineage: Bacteria
Description: partial 16S ribosomal RNA
Rfam family: Bacterial small subunit ribosomal RNA
Source: RNAcentral
AUUGAACGCUGGCGGCAGGCCUAACACAUGCAAGUCGAACGGUAACAGGAAGAAGCUUGCUUCUUUGCUGACGAGCGGCGGACGGGUGAGUAAUGUCUGGGAAACUGCCUGAUGGAGGGGGAUAACUACUGGAAACGGUAGCUAAUACCGCAUAACGUCGCAAGACCAAAGAGGGGGACCUUCGGGCCUCUUGCCAUCGGAUGUGCCCAGAUGGGAUUAGCUAGUAGGUGGGGUAACGGCUCACCUAGGCGACGAUCCCUAGCUGGUCUGAGAGGAUGACCAGCCACACUGGAACUGAGACACGGUCCAGACUCCUACGGGAGGCAGCAGUGGGGAAUAUUGCACAAUGGGCGCAAGCCUGAUGCAGCCAUGCCGCGUGUAUGAAGAAGGCCUUCGGGUUGUAAAGUACUUUCAGCGGGGAGGAAGGGAGUAAAGUUAAUACCUUUACUCAUUGACGUUACCCGAAGAAGAAGCACCGGCUAACUCCGUG